This is a long non-coding RNA of Numida meleagris (helmeted guineafowl), 466 nucleotides long. RefSeq lists it as uncharacterized. The transcript is spliced from 3 exons. The record is from RefSeq and is a predicted model, not a curated record. Lineage: Eukaryota; Metazoa; Chordata; Aves; Galliformes; Numididae.
CUCCAGGUUCUCAUACCAGCUGUAAUUCCUGAUCUCAAUUAAUGAGAAGGACUCAGUGCAUGGGAGAUGCACAGAAGAAUGGGAUGUUGAGUUCUCCUCCUUAUUCCUGCUUGGGCAGCACGUGCCUGAACAGACAAUCAGACCAGGAUAUGAUGAGCUACUCGUGCUGCAGGAGGCCAGCCAGUGCUGAAGGGGAGUGCCUCAUCUGUCGUCCAGCCAUGCCUCUCAGAUUUUUGAAGAUUAAUUAUUUAUCAAAGAUGCUUCUGCAAGAAGUUUGGGCAGUACAUGUCAUCUUGAAUUAUUCCUGACAUUUUUUUUCCAAUGCAGCACACGGUGAGUUCAUUGAAAGGAGUAAAGAUGCUUUAUCUUUACGAUAUCAAAGAACAUGCUGGAGACAAAUGUUUCUCAACUUACUUGCAUGCCAGCCAUCAUGAAAGGCAACAUUCUCUGAGAACAACACCCCAGA